CCCUUAGAUGUUCUGGGCAGCACGCGCGCUACAAUGGUCUUCGCAAACGGAUGCAUUCUCGAAGGAGAAUACCAAUCUUGGAAUCUAUGCCUUGGUCGGGACAGUUGCUUGCAAUUUUUCGACUCGAACCAGGAAUUCCUUGUAAUCGUAAUUCAUCACAUCACGAUGAAUACGUCCCUGCCCUUUGUACACACCGCCCGUCGCUCCUACCGAUCGAAGAGUUAGGUGAAUUGUUUUGAUCGAUAAGAUUUGACUAUGGUCAACUCUCGUUGUGAAAUUCUGUGAAUCUGACUGUUUAGAGGAAGGAAAAGUCGUAACA
RNAcentral lists this ribosomal RNA (319 nucleotides) under uncultured eukaryote. Its description in RNAcentral is "partial 18S ribosomal RNA". It matches the Rfam family "Eukaryotic small subunit ribosomal RNA", at positions 1470 to 1796 of the family's 1831-position model. The record is from RNAcentral.